GACGAACGCUGGCGGCGUGCUUAACACAUGCAAGUCGAACGGAAAGGCCUUUUCGGAGGUACUCGAGUGGCGAACGGGUGAGUAACACGGGGGUGAUCUGCCCUGCACUCUGGGAUAAGCCUGGGAAACUGGGUCUAAUACCGGAUAGGACCGCACUUUAGUGUGUGUGGUGGAAAGUUGUUUCGGUGUAGGAUGAGCCCGCGGCCUAUCAGCUUGUUGGUGGGGUAAUGGCCUACCAAGGCGGCGACGGGUAGCCGGACUGAGAGGUUGGUCGGCCACAUUGGGACUGGGAUACGGCCCAGACUCCUACGGGAGGCAGCAGUGGGGAAUAUUGCACAAUGGGCGCAAGCCUGAUGCAGGGACGCCGCGUGGGGGAGGACGGCCUUCGGGUUGUAAACUCCUUUCGCCAGGGACGAAGCGUUUUGUGACGGUACCUGGAGAAGAAGCACCGGCUAACUACGUG
This 463-nucleotide ribosomal RNA is filed under the name uncultured bacterium. RNAcentral's name for it is "partial 16S ribosomal RNA". It matches the Rfam family "Bacterial small subunit ribosomal RNA", at positions 28 to 507 of the family's 1533-position model. The record is from RNAcentral.